RNAcentral lists this ribosomal RNA (700 nucleotides) under uncultured bacterium. RNAcentral's name for it is "bacterial SSU rRNA". It matches the Rfam family "Bacterial small subunit ribosomal RNA", at positions 8 to 703 of the family's 1533-position model. The record is from RNAcentral.
AGAGUUUGAUCCUGGCUCAGAUUGAAUGCUGGCGGCAGGCCUAACACAUGCAAGUCGAGCGGAUGAGUGGAGCUUGCUCCAUGAUUCAGCGGCGGACGGGUGAGUAAUGCCUAGGAAUCUGCCUGGUAGUGGGGGACAACGUUUCGAAAGGAACGCUAAUACCGCAUACGUCCUACGGGAGAAAGCAGGGGACCUUCGGGCCUUGCGCUAUCAGAUGAGCCUAGGUCGGAUUAGCUAGUUGGUGAGGUAACGGCUCACCAAGGCGACGAUCCGUAACUGGUCUGAGAGGAUGAUCAGUCACACUGGAACUGAGACACGGUCCAGACUCCUACGGGAGGCAGCAGUGGGGAAUAUUGGACAAUGGGCGAAAGCCUGAUCCAGCCAUGCCGCGUGUGUGAAGAAGGUCUUCGGAUUGUAAAGCACUUUAAGUUGGGAGGAAGGGCAGUAAGUUAAUACCUUGCUGUUUUGACGUUACCGACAGAAUAAGCACCGGCUAACUUCGUGCCAGCAGCCGCGGUAAUACGAAGGGUGCAAGCGUUAAUCGGAAUUACUGGGCGUAAAGCGCGCGUAGGUGGUUCAGCAAGUUGGAUGUGAAAGCCCCGGGCUCAACCUGGGAACUGCAUCCAAAACUACUGAGCUAGAGUACGGUAGAGGGUGGUGGAAUUUCCUGUGUAGCGGUGAAAUGCGUAGAUAUAGGAAG